Molecule: ribosomal RNA, 382 nt
Filed under: uncultured fungus
Lineage: Eukaryota; Fungi
Description: eukaryotic LSU rRNA
Rfam family: 5.8S ribosomal RNA (bases 1-99)
Source: RNAcentral
CGAUACGUAAUGUGAAUUGCAGAAUUCAGUGAAUCAUCGAAUCUUUGAACGCAUAUUGCGCUCUUUGGUAUUCCGAAGAGCAUGCUUGUUUGAGUAUCAGUAAACACCUCAAAGUCCUUUUUUGUUAAAAAGACUUUGGACUUGAGCAAUCCCAACAUUUUUCUUAAAGUGGCGGGUUGCUUGAAAUGCAGGUGCAGCUGGACAUUCUCCUGAGCUAAAAGCAUAUUCAUUAGUCCCGUCAAACGGAUUAUUACUUUUGCUGCAGCUAAUAUAAAGGGAGUUUGACCAUUUUGGCUGACUGAUGCAGGAAUUUCACAAGAGUCUUCAAACCACUCUUGUUAAACUCGAUCUCAAAUCAAGUAAGACUACCCGCUGAACUUAA